CAGAUGCGUUCAUAUGAAAAUCUUUAUGAUUUUGAAGGAGCUGGAAAAUUGCAACAGUAGGAUCUCCCCACCGGGUGGCCACAGUGUGGUGAAGGUCCUCUUCCUGCCAGGGCACGCAUUGAAGUCACAGGCAGCUUUGUUAACGCCCAUCCCUCAAAGCUGACUCAGCAGGUCUGGGUCGGGGCCUGAGAGCCUGCAUUUCACACAAGUGCCAAGUGAGGCUAAUGCUGCUGUUCUGGGACCCAUGCUUUCAAAUCUACCAUCCUUAGGAGGCCGCUGUGGCCUGGCUUCUACUGCUUGCCUACUUCAAGCCAGGCCUGUAUUUCAGGUACGUUGGGACUGAUUCAAAUUCUAUGGUGCAAAGGCAGGCAGUCUC
This 376-nucleotide long non-coding RNA is filed under the name Chinchilla lanigera (long-tailed chinchilla). RNAcentral describes it as "lncRNA (ENSCLAG00000027649.1)". Lineage: Eukaryota; Metazoa; Chordata; Mammalia; Rodentia; Chinchillidae. The record is from RNAcentral.